This 429-nucleotide small RNA is filed under the name Pan troglodytes (chimpanzee). RNAcentral's name for it is "processed transcript". Lineage: Eukaryota; Metazoa; Chordata; Mammalia; Primates; Hominidae. The record is from RNAcentral.
ACAGGAGGAAGAUGGCAGAAGCUGUUCAAAAUCACGUGAAAUCCUUGAACUGGGGCCACCGUGUCCAGCUUCAGGACAGAAAAGUCAAGUACUUUAACAUCAAAGCCAGCUUUGUUGACGAGCACACGGUUUGCGGCGUUGCCAAAGGUGGGAAAGAGAUUCUGCUGUCAGCCGAUCACAUCAUCAUUGCUACUGGAGGGCGGCCAAGAUACCCCACGCACAUCGAAGGUGCCUUGGAAUAUGGAAUCACAAGUGAUGACAUCUUCUGGCUGAAGGAAUCCCCUGGAAAAACGUGGAGUCUCACUCUGUCGCCCAGACUGGAGUGCAAUGGCGCAAUCUUGGCUCACUGCAAUCCCUGCCUCCCAGGUUCAAGUGAUUCUCCUGCUUCAGCCUCCAAAGUAGCUGCAAUUACAGGCGCCCACCACCACA